UACGUAGGGGGCAAGCGUUGUCCGGAUUUAUUGGGCGUAAAGAGCGUGUAGGCGGUUUGGUAGGUCCGCUGUGAAAACUUGAGGCUCAACCUCGAGACGCCGGUGGAAACCAUCAGACUAGAGUCCGGAAGAGGAGAGUGGAAUUCCUGGUGUAGCGGUGAAAUGCGCAGAUAUCAGGAAGAACACCCGUGGCUAAGGCGGCUCUCUAGUACGGUACUGACGCUGAGACGCGAAAGCGUGGGGAGCGAACAGG
This 253-nucleotide ribosomal RNA is filed under the name uncultured bacterium. Its description in RNAcentral is "partial 16S ribosomal RNA". It matches the Rfam family "Bacterial small subunit ribosomal RNA", at positions 524 to 776 of the family's 1533-position model. The record is from RNAcentral.